Molecule: ribosomal RNA, 774 nt
Filed under: uncultured Neocallimastigales
Lineage: Eukaryota; Fungi; Neocallimastigomycota; Neocallimastigomycetes; Neocallimastigales
Description: partial large subunit ribosomal RNA
Rfam family: Eukaryotic large subunit ribosomal RNA
Source: RNAcentral
UAUGUGAUCGUCUCUCGCAUAUCAAUAAGCGGAGGAAAAGAAACUAACAAGGAUUCCCCUAGUAACGGCGAGUGAGGCGGGAAGAGCUCAAAUUUGAAAUCUUAAAGGGUUUCCCUUUACGAAUUGUAGUUUAAAGAAGUGUUUUCUGUUGAGGUUUUGGUAAAAGUUCUUUGGAAUAGGACAUCAUAGAGGGUGAGAAUCCCGUAUUUGACCUUUACUUUCAACUUUGUGAUACACUUUCAAAGAGUCGGAUUGUUUGGGAAUGCAGUCCAAAAUGGGUGGUAAAUUUCAUCUAAAGCUAAAUAUUGGCGAGAGACCGAUAGCGAACAAGUACCGUGAGGGAAAGAUGAAAAGAACUUUGAAAAGAGAGUUAACCAGUACGUGAAAUUGUCAAAAGGGAAGCGUUUGACACCAGUGUUGUUUUUCUGAAAAUCAAUUAAAGAACUGUUUAUGCUAAGCUGUUUAGACUUUAUCAGCUAUCUGUUUAGUUUUGAGCUUUUCUUUAAUGCACUUUUCAGUUAACAAGUCAACAUCAAUUUCUUUUGCUGUAAAAAAGCUUGAGGAAGGUGGCUUGAGAUUCGUCUUAAGUGUUUAUAGCCUCUUGCCUAUGCAGUCGGAGAGAUUGAGGUCUGCAGCGUAGAUCCUUCGGGGCUAAAUGCAUUUGUGCUAAGUUAUAGCAUUUUAUAGACAACUUGUUGACUAUGAUUUGUCUUGUAGCUUACUCGCUUAUGUUAUUUUACCUACGCUUAGGAUGUUGAAUCUGUGCGAGACUAC